CCUACGGGUGGCAGCAGUCGAGAAUCAUUCACAAUGGGGGAAAGCCUGAUGGUGCGACGCCGCGUGGGGGAAUGAAGGUCUUCGGUUUGUAAACCCCUGUCAUGUGGGAGCAAAUUCACAAGAUAGUAUCACAAGAGGAAGAGACGGCUAACUCUGUGCCAGCAGCCGCGGUAAUAAAGAGGUCUCACGCGUUGUUCGGAAUCACAGGGGGUAAAGCGUGCGUAGGCUGUUUCGUAAGUCGUGUGUGAAAGGCGCGGGCGCAACCCGCGGACGGCACAGGAAACUGGGAGACUAGAGUAAUGGAGUGGGAACGGGAAUUCUCGGUGGAGCAGUGAAAUGCGUAGAUAGCGAGAGGAACACUCGUGGCGAAGGCGGGUUCCUGGACAUUAACUGACGCUGAGGCACGAAGGCCAGGGGAGCGAAAGGGAUUAGAUACCCUGGUAGUC
RNAcentral lists this ribosomal RNA (446 nucleotides) under uncultured bacterium. RNAcentral describes it as "partial 16S ribosomal RNA". It matches the Rfam family "Bacterial small subunit ribosomal RNA", at positions 338 to 795 of the family's 1533-position model. The record is from RNAcentral.